CGCGUAGGCGGUUUGAUAAGUCAGAUGUGAAAGCCCACGGCUUAACUGUGGAAGUGCAUUUGAAACUGUCAGACUUGAGUAUCAGAGGGGAAAGUGGAAUUCCCGGUGUAGAGGUGAAAUUCGUAGAUAUCGGGAGGAAUACCGGGUGGCGAAGGCGACUUUCUGGCUGAAUACUGACGCUGAGGCGCGAAAGCGUGGGGAGCAAACA
This 208-nucleotide ribosomal RNA is filed under the name uncultured delta proteobacterium. RNAcentral's name for it is "partial 16S ribosomal RNA". It matches the Rfam family "Bacterial small subunit ribosomal RNA", at positions 568 to 774 of the family's 1533-position model. Lineage: Bacteria; Deltaproteobacteria. The record is from RNAcentral.